This 30-nucleotide small RNA is filed under the name Bombyx mori (domestic silkworm). RNAcentral's name for it is "piRNA piR-bmo-1769432". The record is from RNAcentral. Lineage: Eukaryota; Metazoa; Arthropoda; Insecta; Lepidoptera; Bombycidae.
UGAGUCGGAUACAUCGUCACCAAACACGAU